This 393-nucleotide ribosomal RNA is filed under the name uncultured Geobacter sp. RNAcentral's name for it is "partial 16S ribosomal RNA". It matches the Rfam family "Bacterial small subunit ribosomal RNA", at positions 116 to 487 of the family's 1533-position model. The record is from RNAcentral. Lineage: Bacteria; Pseudomonadati; Thermodesulfobacteriota; Desulfuromonadia; Geobacterales; Geobacteraceae.
CGUAGAUAAUMUGCWUGAUGAUCCGGGAUAACYCUUCGAAARGGGUGCUAGUACCGWAUAAGCCCACGGGGUCUUUGGAUUWUKCGGGAAAAGGGGGGGACCUUSGGRCCUUSUGUCAUCAKAWGAGUCUGCGUACCAUUAGCUAGUUGGUAGGGUAAUGGCCUMCCAAGGCUACGAUGGUUAGCUGGUUUGAGAGAAUGWUCAGCCACACUGGAAMUGAGACRCGGUCCAGACUCCUACGGGAGGCAGCAGUGGGGAAUUUUGCGCAAUGGGMGAAAGCCUGACGCAGCAACGCCGCGUGAGUGAUGAAGGCUUUCGGGUCGUAAAGCUCUGUCGAGGGGAAAGAAGUGUAUUGUGGCUAAUAUCCGCGAUACUUGACGGUACCCCUAAAGG